AAUGAACGCUGGCGGCAUGCCUAACACAUGCCAGUCGAACGACAGCACAGUAAGAGCUUGCUCUUACGGGUGGCGAGUGGCGGACGGGUGACGAAUGCAUCGGAAUCCUCUUUUUCGUGGGGGAUAACGUAGGAAAACUUCCGCUAACACCGCAUACAACCUACGGGUGAAAGCAGGGGUUCUUCGGGCCUUGCGCGAUUGUAAGAGCCGAUGUCGGAUUAGCUAGUUGGCUGGGUAAAGGCCCACCAAGGCGACGAUCCGUAGCGGGUCCGAGAGGAUGAUCAGCCACACUGGAACUGAGACACGGUCCAGACUCCUACGGGAGGACGCAGUGGGGAAUAUUGCGCAAUGGGCGAAAGCCUGAUCCAGCAAAACCGCGUGGGUGAAGAAGGCCUUCGGGUUGUAAAGCCCUGUUGUUGGGAAAGAAAAACAGCAGGUUAAUACCCGGCUGUUCUGACGGUACCCAAAGAAUAAGCACCGGCUAACUUCGUG
RNAcentral lists this ribosomal RNA (492 nucleotides) under uncultured bacterium. Its description in RNAcentral is "partial 16S ribosomal RNA". It matches the Rfam family "Bacterial small subunit ribosomal RNA", at positions 29 to 507 of the family's 1533-position model. The record is from RNAcentral.